AGUGAACGCUGGCGGUAGGCCUAACACAUGCAAGUCGAACGGCAGCACAGUCAGAGCUUGCUCUUACGGGUGGCGAGUGGCGGACGGGUGAGGAAUACAUCGGAAUCUACUUUUUCGUGGGGGAUAACGUAGGGAAACUUACGCCAAUACCGCAUACGACCUACGGGUGAAAGCAGGGGAUCUUCGGACCUUGCGCGAUUGAAUGAGCCGGUGUCGGAUUAGCUAGUUGGCGGGGUAAAGGCCCACCAAGGCGACGAUCCGUAGCUGGUCUGAGAGGAUGAUCAGCCACACUGGAACUGAGACACGGUCCAGACUCCUACGGGAGGCAGCAGUGGGGAAUAUUGGACAAUGGGCGCAAGCCUGAUCCAGCCAUACCGCGUGGGUGAAGAAGGCCUUCGGGUUGUAAAGCCCUUUUGUUGGGAAAGAAAAGCAGCAGGUUAAUACCCCGCUGUUCUGACGGUACCCAAAGAAUAAGCACCGGCUAACUUCGUG
This 492-nucleotide ribosomal RNA is filed under the name uncultured bacterium. Its description in RNAcentral is "partial 16S ribosomal RNA". It matches the Rfam family "Bacterial small subunit ribosomal RNA", at positions 29 to 507 of the family's 1533-position model. The record is from RNAcentral.